UCCGGAGGGGGCUAGCGUUGUUCGGAAUUACUGGGCGUAAAGCGCGCGUAGGCGGACCUGCAAGUCGGGGGUGAAAGCCCGAGGCUCAACCUCGGAACUGCCUUCGAUACUGCGGGUCUCGAGUCCGAGAGAGGUGAGUGGAAUUCCUAGUGUAGAGGUGAAAUUCGUAGAUAUUAGGAAGAACACCAGUGGCGAAGGCGGCUCACUGGCUCGGUACUGACGCUGAGGUGCGAAAGCGUGGGGAGAAAACAGG
This 253-nucleotide ribosomal RNA is filed under the name uncultured bacterium. Its description in RNAcentral is "partial 16S ribosomal RNA". It matches the Rfam family "Bacterial small subunit ribosomal RNA", at positions 524 to 776 of the family's 1533-position model. The record is from RNAcentral.